GACGAACGCUGGCGGCGUGCCUAAUACAUGCAAGUCGAGCGAAUGGAUUAAGAGCUUGCUCUUAUGAAGUUAGCGGCGGACGGGUGAGUAACACGUGGGUAACCUGCCCAUAAGACUGGGAUAACUCCGGGAAACCGGGGCUAAUACCGGAUAACAUUUUGAACCGCAUGGUUCGAAAUUGAAAGGCGGCUUCGGCUGUCACUUAUGGAUGGACCCGCGUCGCAUUAGCUAGUUGGUGAGGUAACGGCUCACCAAGGCAACGAUGCGUAGCCGACCUGGGAGGGUGAUCGGCCACACUGGGACGGAGACACGGCACAGACUCCUACGGGAGGCAGCAGUAGGGAAUCUUCCGAAAUGGACGAAAGUCUGACGGAGCAACGCCGCGUGAGUGAUGAAGGCUUCCGGGUCGUAAAACUCUGUUGUUAGGGAAGAACAAGUGCUAGUUGAAUAAGCUGGCACCUUGACGGUACCUAACCAGAAAGCCACGGCUAACUACGUGCCAGCCGCCGCAGUAA
This 515-nucleotide ribosomal RNA is filed under the name uncultured bacterium. RNAcentral describes it as "partial 16S ribosomal RNA". It matches the Rfam family "Bacterial small subunit ribosomal RNA", at positions 28 to 523 of the family's 1533-position model. The record is from RNAcentral.